This 471-nucleotide ribosomal RNA is filed under the name uncultured bacterium. Its description in RNAcentral is "bacterial SSU rRNA". It matches the Rfam family "Bacterial small subunit ribosomal RNA", at positions 355 to 825 of the family's 1533-position model. The record is from RNAcentral.
UGGGGAAUAUUGGGCAAUGGGCGCAAGCCUGACCCAGCCACGCCGCGUGAGUGAUGAAGGCCUUCGGGUCGUAAAGCUCUGUGGGGAAGGACGAAAAAACAUUGGCUAAUAUCCAAUGGCUUGACGGUACUUCCUUAGCAAGCACCGGCUAACUCUGUGCCAGCAGCCGCGGUAAUACAGAGGGUGCAAAUGUUGCUCGGAAUCAUUGGGCGUAAAGCGCACGUAGGCGGCCUGAUAAGUCGGUAGUGAAAGCCCUCGGCUUAACCGAGGAAGUGCUAUCGAAACUGCCAGGCUUGAGUACCGGAGAGGAUCGCGGAAUUCCCGGUGUAGAGGUGAAAUUCGUAGAUAUCGGGAGGAACACCAGUGGCGAAGGCGGCGAUCUGGACGGAUACUGACGCUGAGGUGCGAAAGCGUGGGGAGCAAACAGGAUUAGAUACCCCCGUAGUCCCUGAGCGGGCUGGCAAGGCGCAU